RNAcentral lists this ribosomal RNA (404 nucleotides) under Actinomycetes bacterium. RNAcentral's name for it is "Actinobacteria bacterium partial 16S ribosomal RNA". It matches the Rfam family "Bacterial small subunit ribosomal RNA", at positions 355 to 776 of the family's 1533-position model. The record is from RNAcentral. Lineage: Bacteria; Bacillati; Actinomycetota; Actinomycetes.
UGGGGAAUAUUGGACAAUGGGCGCAAGCCUGAUCCAGCCAUGCCGCGUGAGUGAUGAAGGCCCUAGGGUUGUAAAGCUCUUUCACCGGUGAAGAUAAUGACGGUAACCGGAGAAGAAGCCCCGGCUAACUUCGUGCCAGCAGCCGCGGUAAUACGAAGGGGGCUAGCGUUGUUCGGAUUUACUGGGCGUAAAGCGCACGUAGGCGGACUUUUAAGUCAGGGGUGAAAUCCCGGGGCUCAACCCCGGAACUGCCUUUGAUACUGGAAGUCUUGAGUAUGGUAGAGGUGAGUGGAAUUCCAAGUGUAAAGGUGAAAUUCGUGAAUAUUCGGAGAAACACCAGUGGCGAAGGCGGCUAACUGGACCAUUACUGACGCUGAGGUGCGAAAGCGUGGGGAGCAAACAGG